RNAcentral lists this ribosomal RNA (651 nucleotides) under Lactarius deliciosus. Its description in RNAcentral is "eukaryotic LSU rRNA". The stretch from base 237 to 390 matches the Rfam family "5.8S ribosomal RNA". Lineage: Eukaryota; Fungi; Basidiomycota; Agaricomycetes; Russulales; Russulaceae. The record is from RNAcentral.
UUAUCGUACAACGUGCGUGGAGGGCGUGCGAGGGCUGUCGCUGACUUUUUGUUGACGCAAAAGUCGUGCACGCCGGAGCACGUCCUCUCGCAUAAAAUCCAUCUCACCCUUUUGUGCACCACCGCGUGGGCACCUUUUGGGAUCGAACCGAUCCUGGAGGGGGCUUGCGUUUUCACACAAACCCCUUUUAAAAAAGUGUAGAAUGACCCCAUUUUGCGAUGACACGCAAUCAAUACAACUUUCAACAACGGAUCUCUUGGCUCUCGCAUCGAUGAAGAACGCAGCGAAAUGCGAUACGUAAUGUGAAUUGCAGAAUUCAGUGAAUCAUCGAAUCUUUGAACGCACCUUGCGCCCCUUGGUAUUCCGAGGGGCACACCCGUUUGAGUGUCGUGAAAUUCUCAACCUUCUCGGUUUUCUUCUGGACACCGAAGGAGGCUUGGACAUUGGAGGCCUUUGCUGGCGUCUCUUAGACCCAGCUCCUCUUAAAUGAAUUAGCGGGGUCCUCUUUGCCGAUCCUUGACAUGUGAUAAGAUGUUUCCAUGACUUGGUUUCUGGCUCUGUUGCAUUUGGGACCUGCUUCUAACCGUCUCGACGAGACAACGUUUGGGCGUGUCUCCCUUCUCGGGAGACUCUCUCAACCCCACGAACCCU